RNAcentral lists this ribosomal RNA (900 nucleotides) under uncultured Geobacter sp. Its description in RNAcentral is "bacterial SSU rRNA". It matches the Rfam family "Bacterial small subunit ribosomal RNA", at positions 521 to 1424 of the family's 1533-position model. The record is from RNAcentral. Lineage: Bacteria; Pseudomonadati; Thermodesulfobacteriota; Desulfuromonadia; Geobacterales; Geobacteraceae.
UAAUACGGAGGAUGCGAGCGUUAUCCGGAUUUAUUGGGUUUAAAGGGUGCGUAGGCGGUUGUAUAAGUCAGCGGUGAAAUUUUCCGGCUUAACCGGGAGACUGCCGUUGAUACUGUAUAGCUUGAAUACGGUUGCUGUGAGUGGAAUGUGUGGUGUAGCGGUGAAAUGCAUAGAUAUCACACAGAAUAUCGAUUGCGAAGGCAGCUCACAAAGCCGUUAUUGACGCUGAUGCACGAAAGUGUGGGGAUCAAACAGGAUUAGAUACCCUGGUAGUCCACACUGUAAACGAUGAUAACUAGCUGUCGGCGAUACACCGUCGGUGGCCAAGCGAAAGCGAUAAGUUAUCCACCUGGGGAGUACGACCGCAAGGUUGAAACUCAAAGGAAUUGACGGGGGCCCGCACAAGCGGAGGAACAUGUGGUUUAAUUCGAUGAUACGCGAGGAACCUUACCCGGGCUCGAACGGUGCAGUAAUAUGGUAGAGAUAUCAUAGCUAGCAAUAGACUGUAUCGAGGUGCUGCAUGGUUGUCGUCAGCUCGUGCCGUGAGGUGUCGGCUUAAGUGCCAUAACGAGCGCAACCCUUGUCGUUAGUUACCAUCAAGUAAAGUUGGGGACUCUAGCGAGACUGCCACCGUAAGGUGUGAGGAAGGGGGGGAUGACGUCAAAUCAGCACGGCCCUUACGUCCGGGGCGACACACGUGUUACAAUGGUAGGUACAGAGGGCCGCUAUCCAGUGAUGGAGUGCCAAUCUCAAAAACCUAUCUCAGUUCGGAUCGGAGUCUGCAACUCGACUCCGUGAAGUUGGAUUCGCUAGUAAUCGCGCAUCAGCCAUGGCGCGGUGAAUACGUUCCCGGGNCUUGUACACACCGCCCGUCAAGCCAUGGNNNCCGGGGGUGCCUGA